Molecule: ribosomal RNA, 265 nt
Filed under: uncultured Chlorophyceae
Lineage: Eukaryota; Viridiplantae; Chlorophyta; Chlorophyceae
Description: partial Bacterial large subunit ribosomal RNA
Rfam family: Bacterial large subunit ribosomal RNA
Source: RNAcentral
GAAACAUCUAAGUACCCGGAGGAAAGGAAAUCAAUUGAUACUCCGCUAGUAGUGGCGAGCGAACGCGGACCAGCCAAGCCUGAUAAGUGAGAAGAACCGUUUGGGAAGACGGGCCAUAGUGGGUGACAGCCCCGUAUUCGAAGCUUUGAAGGAUGUAUUAAGUAGGGCGGAACACGUGAAAUUCUGUCUGAAGAUCGGAGGACCACCUUCGAAGGCUAAGUACUCCUUACUGACCGAUAGCGAACCAGUACCGUGAGGGAAAGGU